AGCAGCCGCGGUAAUUCCAGCUCCAAUAGCGUAUAUUAAAGUUGUUGCAGUUAAAAAGCUCGUAGUUGAAUUUCGGGAUCAGUACGCCGGUCGUGCCUUCGGUAUGCACUGGUGUCACUGGUUUCUCCCUUCUGAAGAACCACCAUGCCAUUAAGUUGGUGUGGCGGGGAAUCAGGACUGUUACUUUGAAAAAAUUAGAGUGUUUAAAGCAGGCUCGCGCUUGAAUACAUUAGCAUGGAAUAAUGAAAUAGGACGUUUGACCCUAUUUUGUUGGUUUCUAGGAUCGACGUAAUGAUUAAUAGGGAUAGUUGGGGGCAUUAGUAUUCAAUUGUCAGAGGUGAAAUUCUUGGAUUUAUUGAAGACUAACUACUGCGAAAGCAUUUGCCAAGGAUGUUUUCAUUAAUCAAGAACGAAAGUUAGGGGAUCGAAGACGAUCAGAUACCGUCGUAG
This 450-nucleotide ribosomal RNA is filed under the name uncultured Glomus. Its description in RNAcentral is "SSU rRNA". It matches the Rfam family "Eukaryotic small subunit ribosomal RNA", at positions 569 to 1023 of the family's 1831-position model. Lineage: Eukaryota; Fungi; Glomeromycota; Glomeromycetes; Glomerales; Glomeraceae. The record is from RNAcentral.